RNAcentral lists this ribosomal RNA (207 nucleotides) under uncultured Serinicoccus sp. RNAcentral describes it as "partial 16S ribosomal RNA". It matches the Rfam family "Bacterial small subunit ribosomal RNA", at positions 568 to 774 of the family's 1533-position model. The record is from RNAcentral. Lineage: Bacteria; Bacillati; Actinomycetota; Actinomycetes; Micrococcales; Ornithinimicrobiaceae.
CUUGUAGGCGGCUUGUCGCGUCUGCUGUGAAAGCCCGGGGCUUAACUCCGGGUCUGCAGUGGGUACGGGCAGGCUAGAGUGUGGUAGGGGAGACUGGAAUUCCUGGUGUAGCGGUGGAAUGCGCAGAUAUCAGGAGGAACACCGAUGGCGAAGGCAGGUCUCUGGGCCAUUACUGACGCUGAGAAGCGAAAGCGUGGGGAGCGAACA